GCCCCCGUAGCUCAGGGGAGAGAGCGGUCGCCUUCUAAGCGAACGGUCGCAGGUUCGAAUCCUGCCGGGGGCGCCA
Molecule: transfer RNA, 76 nt
Filed under: Pseudomonadota bacterium
Lineage: Bacteria; Pseudomonadati; Pseudomonadota
Also listed under: 4 other names
Description: tRNA-Arg
Rfam family: tRNA
About the family: Transfer RNA (tRNA) molecules are approximately 80 nucleotides in length. Their secondary structure includes four short double-helical elements and three loops (D, anti-codon, and T loops). Further hydrogen bonds mediate the characteristic L-shaped molecular structure. tRNAs have two regions of fundamental functional importance: the anti-codon, which is responsible for specific mRNA codon recognition, and the 3' end, to which the tRNAs corresponding amino acid is attached (by aminoacyl-tRNA synthetases). tRNAs cope with the degeneracy of the genetic code in two manners: having more than one tRNA (with a specific anti-codon) for a particular amino acid; and 'wobble' base-pairing, i.e. permitting non-standard base-pairing at the 3rd anti-codon position.
Source: RNAcentral